CAUCUAAGUACCCCGAGGAAAAGAAAUCAACCGAGAUUCCCCCAGUAGCGGCGAGCGAACGGGGAGCAGCCCAGAGCCUGAAUCAGUGUGUGUGUUAGUGGAAGCGUCUGGAAAGGCGCGCGAUACAGGGUGACAGCCCCGUACACAAAAAUGCACAUACUGUGAGCUCGAUGAGUAGGGCGGGACACGUGGUAUCCUGUCUGAAUAUGGGGGGACCAUCCUCCAAGGCUAAAUACUCCUGACUGACCGAUAGUGAACCAGUACCGUGAGGGAAAGGCGAAAAGAACCCCGGCGAGGGGAGUGAAAAAGAACCUGAAACCGUGUACGUACAAGCAGUGGGAGCCUCUUUAUGGGGUGACUGCGUACCUUUUGUAUAAUGGGUCAGCGACUUAUAUUCUGUAGCAAGGUUAACCGAAUAGGGGAGCCGAAGGGAAACCGAGUCUUAACUGGGCGUUAAGUUGCAGGGUAUAGACCCGAAACCCGGUGAUCUAGCCAUGGGCAGGUUGAAGGUUGGGUAACACUAACUGGAGGACCGAACCGACUAAUGUUGAAAAAUUAGCGGAUGACUUGUGGCUGGGGGUGAAAGGCCAAUCAAACCGGGAGAUAGCUGGUUCUCCCCGAAAGCUAUUUAGGUAGCGCCUCGUGAAUUCAUCUCCGGGGGUAGAGCACUGUUUCGGCAAGGGGGUCAUCCCGACUUACCAACCCGAUGCAAACUGCGAAUACCGGAGAAUGUUAUCACGGGAGACACACGGCGGGUGCUAACGUCCGUCGUGAAGAGGGAAACAACCCAGACCGCCAGCUAAGGUCCCAAAGUCAUGGUUAAGUGGGAAACGAUGUGGGAAGGCCCAGACAGCCAGGAUGUUGGCUUAGAAGCAGCCAUCAUUUAAAGAAAGCGUAAUAGCUCACUGGUCGAGUCGGCCUGCGCGGAAGAUGUAACGGGGCUAAACCAUGCACCGAAGCUGCGGCAGCGACGCUUAUGCGUUGUUGGGUAGGGGAGCGUUCUGUAAGCCUGCGAAGGUGUACUGUGAGGUAUGCUGGAGGUAUCAGAAGUGCGAAUGCUGACAUAAGUAACGAUAAAGCGGGUGAAAAGCCCGCUCGCCGGAAGACCAAGGGUUCCUGUCCAACGUUAAUCGGGGCAGGGUGAGUCGACCCCUAAGGCGAGGCCGAAAGGCGUAGUCGAUGGGAAACAGGUUAAUAUUCCUGUACUUGGUGUUACUGCGAAGGGGGGACGGAGAAGGCUAUGUUGGCCGGGCGACGGUUGUCCCGGUUUAAGCGUGUAGGCUGGUUUUCCAGGCAAAUCCGGAAAAUCAAGGCUGAGGCGUGAUGACGAGGCACUACGGUGCUGAAGCGACAAAUGCCCUGCUUCCAGGAAAA
RNAcentral lists this ribosomal RNA (1374 nucleotides) under Escherichia coli. Its description in RNAcentral is "partial 23S ribosomal RNA". It matches the Rfam family "Bacterial large subunit ribosomal RNA", at positions 199 to 1616 of the family's 2925-position model. The record is from RNAcentral. Lineage: Bacteria; Pseudomonadati; Pseudomonadota; Gammaproteobacteria; Enterobacterales; Enterobacteriaceae.